This 1300-nucleotide ribosomal RNA is filed under the name metagenome. Its description in RNAcentral is "SSU rRNA". It matches the Rfam family "Eukaryotic small subunit ribosomal RNA", at positions 448 to 1823 of the family's 1831-position model. The record is from RNAcentral.
AUCCUGAUUCAGGGAGGCAGUGACAAGAAAUAACAACUUUCAACUUUGUUGAAAAGUGUAAUGAGGAUAAUUUACAAACCUUACCGAAAGCAAUUGGAGGGCAAGUCUGGUGCCAGCAGCCGCGGUAAUUCCAGCUCCAAAAGCGUAUAUUAAAGUUGUUGCAGUUAAAAAGCUCGUAGUUGAAGUUCUGGCUGUAUUGGGCCUUAGCACUUGAUGCGGAGGAACCAGCAGUCAUCCGCUUGCAAAUACAUGUCCUUCCUUAACCGGUAGGCUGUAUAAGUAAGCACUUUACCUUGAGAAAAACAGAGUGUUCCAGGCAGGUUUGUCCGGAAUGCGUUAGCAUGGAAUAAUAGAAUAUGACUGAAGUCGAUUUAUUGGUUUAAGGCUUUAGUAAUGAUUAAUAGGAACAAUCGGGGGCAUUGGUACUUGUCAGUCAGAGGUGAAAUUCUAGGAUUUGACAAAGACUAACUGAUGCGAAAGCGUUUGCCAAGAAUGUUUUCAUUAAUCAAGAACGAAAGUUAGGGGAUCAAAGACGAUCAGAUACCGUCCUAGUCUUAACUAUAAACUAUACCGACUCGGAUUCAGAUGAAUUUUAAAGUUCAUUUGGGACCGUAGGAGAAAUCAAAGCCUUUGGGUUCUGGGGGGAGUAUGGUCGCAAGGCUGAAACUUAAAGGAAUUGACGGUUUUGCACCACCAUGGAGUGGAGCCUGCGGCUUAAUUUGACCCAACACUGGGAAACUCAUCAGGGCAAGAAGAUUUUAGGAUUGACAGAUUGAGAGUUCUUUCUUGAUUGGUCUAGUGGUGGUGCAUGGCCGUUCUUAGUUGGUGGAGUGAUUUGUCUGGUUAAUUCCGUUAACGAACGAGACCUUAACCUGCUAACUAGUACUUUGAUUUUCAAUCGGAGUUACUUCUUAGAGGGACUAUGUGAGUAAUCACAUGGAAGUUUGAGGCAAUAACAGGUCUGUGAUGCCCUUAGAUGUCCUGAGCUGCACGCGCGCUACAAUGACACAUUCAGCGAGUAUUUCCUGACCCGAAAGGGCUCGGGUAAUCUUUUCAGUGUGUGUCGUGAUAGGGAUAGAUCUUUGUAAUUAUGGAUCUUGAACGAGGAAUUCCUAGUAAGCGCACGUCAUCAGCGUGUGCUGAUUACGUCCCUGCAAAAUGUACACACCGCCCGUCGCUAUUACCGAUUGGGUGUAUAGGUGAACCUUCUCGAUAGCCGCAAGGCUAGAAAUUAAGUAAACCUUUGCACCUAGAGGAAAUAAAAGUCGUAACAAGGUUUCCGUAGGUGAACCUGCGGAAG